Molecule: ribosomal RNA, 274 nt
Filed under: uncultured bacterium
Lineage: Bacteria
Description: partial 16S ribosomal RNA
Rfam family: Bacterial small subunit ribosomal RNA
Source: RNAcentral
AUACGGAGGGUGCGAGCGUUAUCCGGAUUUAUUAGGUUUAAAGGGUGUGUAGGCGGGAGCCUAAGUCAGUGGUGAAAUCUCACGGCUUAACUGUGAAACUGCCAUUGAAACUGGGUUUCUUGAGUAUAGUUGAGAUAGGCGGAAUGUGUAAUGUAGCGGUGAAAUGCAUAGAUAUUACACAGAACACCGAUUGCGAAGGCAGCUUACUAAGCUAUUACUGACGCUGAUGCACGAAAGCGUGGGUAGCGAACAGGAUUAGAAACCCCAGUAGUCC